This 172-nucleotide non-coding RNA is filed under the name Ornithinibacillus halophilus. RNAcentral describes it as "T-box sequence". It matches the Rfam family "T-box leader". Rfam says of the family: Uncharged tRNA acts as the effector for transcription antitermination of genes in the T-box leader family. T-boxes are found upstream of many aminoacyl-tRNA synthetase genes and some amino acid biosynthetic genes usually in Gram-positive bacteria. The record is from RNAcentral. Lineage: Bacteria; Bacillati; Bacillota; Bacilli; Caryophanales; Bacillaceae.
GUAACUGCAGUGAUGGAGAAGAGUACUUAAUCCGUAUUAUUAAUAGCGAGUCCAGGUAGGUGUAAGCUGGAUAAUAAACGUUAAGGAACGGCACUCCGGAGCAGGAUUCGAUAAAGUGGCUCUGUAAAAGAGCAAAUAGGGUGGAACCGCGGAUGAUUCGUCCGUCCCUAUG